This 492-nucleotide ribosomal RNA is filed under the name uncultured bacterium. RNAcentral describes it as "partial 16S ribosomal RNA". It matches the Rfam family "Bacterial small subunit ribosomal RNA", at positions 29 to 507 of the family's 1533-position model. The record is from RNAcentral.
AGUGAACGCUGGCGGUAGGCCUAACACAUGCAAGCCGAACGGCAGCACAGUAAGAGCUUGCUCUUACGGGUGGCGAGUGGCGGACGGGUGAGGAAUACAUCGGAAUCUACUUUUUCGUGGGGGAUAACGUAGGGAAACUUACGCUAAUACCGCAUACGACCUACGGGUGAGAGCAGGGGAUCUUCGGGCCUUGCGCGAUUGAAUGAGCCGAUGUCGGAUUAGCUAGUUGGCGGGGUAAAGGCCCACCAAGGCGACGAUCCGUAGCUGGUCUGAGAGGAUGAUCAGCCACACUAGAACUGAGACACGGUCCAGACUCCUACGGGAGGCAGCAGUGGGGAAUAUUGGACAAUGGGCGCAAGCCUGAUCCAGCCAUACCGCGUGGGUGAAGAAGGCCUUCGGGUUGUAAAGCCCUUUUGUUGGGAAAGAAAAGCAGCAGGUUAAUACCCCGCUGUUCUGACGGUACCCAAAGAAUAAGCACCGGCUAACUUCGUG